GCCUUCAUGAAGUCGGAAUUGCUAGUAAUGGCAGGUCAGCAUACUGCCGUGAAUACGUUCCCGGGCCUUGUACACACCGCCCGUCACACCAUGAGAGUUGGGAAUACCCGAAGCCUGUGAGCCAACAAACGAGGCAGCAGUCGAAGGUAGAAUCAAUGAUUGGGGUGAAGUCGUAACAAGGUAUC
Molecule: ribosomal RNA, 185 nt
Filed under: uncultured bacterium
Lineage: Bacteria
Description: partial 16S ribosomal RNA
Rfam family: Bacterial small subunit ribosomal RNA
Source: RNAcentral